UGCAUGGGCGAAGCCUGAUGCAGCGACGCCACGUGAGGGAUGACGGCCUUCGGGUUGUAAACCUCUUUCAGCAGGGAAGAAGCGAAAGUGACGGUACCUGCAGAAGAAGCGCCGGCUAACUACGUGCCAGCAGCCGCGGUAAUACGUAGGGCGCAAGCGUUGUCCGGAAUUAUUGGGCGUAAAGAGCUCGUAGGCGGUCUGUCGCGUCUGGUGUGAAAUCCCAUGGCUCAACUGUGGGCUUGCAUCGGGUACGGGCAGACUAGAGUGCUGUAGGGGAGACUGGAAUUCCUGGUGUAGCGGUGGAAUGCGCAAAUAUCAGGAGGAACACCGAUGGCGAAGGCAGGUCUCUGGGCAGUUACUGACGCUGAGGAGCGAAAGCAUGGGGAGCGAACAGGAUUAGAUACCCUGGUAGUCCAUGCCGUAAACGUUGGGCACUAGGUGUGGGGCGGGUUCCACUCGUUCUGUGCCGCAGCUAACGCAUUAAGUGCCCCGCCUGGGGAGUACGGCCGCAAGGCUAAAACUCAAAUGAAAUUGACGGA
RNAcentral lists this ribosomal RNA (539 nucleotides) under Promicromonospora kermanensis. RNAcentral describes it as "bacterial SSU rRNA". It matches the Rfam family "Bacterial small subunit ribosomal RNA", at positions 365 to 917 of the family's 1533-position model. Lineage: Bacteria; Bacillati; Actinomycetota; Actinomycetes; Micrococcales; Promicromonosporaceae. The record is from RNAcentral.